AUUGAACGCUGGCGGCAUGCCUUACACAUGCAAGUCGAACGGUUACAGGUCUUCGGAUGCUGACGAGUGGCGAACGGGUGAGUAAUACAUCGGAACGUGCCUAGUAGUGGGGGAUAACUACUCGAAAGAGUGGCUAAUACCGCAUGAGAUCUACGGAUGAAAGCAGGGGAUCGCAAGACCUUGUGCUACUAAAACGGCCGAUGGCAGAUUAGGUAGUUGGUGGGAUAAAAGCUUACCAAGCCGACGAUCUGUAGCUGGUCUGAGAGGACGAUCAGCCACACUGGGACUGAGAAACGGCCCAGACUCCUACGGGAGGCAGCAGUGGGGAAUUUUGGACAAUGGGCGCAAGCCUGAUCCAGCAAUGCCGCGUGCAGGAUGAAGGCCUUCGGGUUGUAAACUGCUUUUGUACGGAACGAAAAGCCCCGGGUUAAUACCCUGGGGUCAUGACGGUACCGUAAGAAUAAGCACCGGCUAACUACGUGCCAGCCGCCGCGGUAA
RNAcentral lists this ribosomal RNA (498 nucleotides) under uncultured bacterium. Its description in RNAcentral is "partial 16S ribosomal RNA". It matches the Rfam family "Bacterial small subunit ribosomal RNA", at positions 30 to 523 of the family's 1533-position model. The record is from RNAcentral.